This 68-nucleotide transfer RNA is filed under the name Aegla aff. longirostri MHT-2018. Its description in RNAcentral is "tRNA-Ser". The record is from RNAcentral. Lineage: Eukaryota; Metazoa; Arthropoda; Malacostraca; Decapoda; Aeglidae.
AAGAGAUAUAGGUCAAGGAGAAAGCUUCUAACUUUCACCCUAUGCGGUUAAACUCCGUAAAUAUCUUA